Long non-coding RNA from Cyanistes caeruleus (blue tit), 984 nucleotides. Lineage: Eukaryota; Metazoa; Chordata; Aves; Passeriformes; Paridae. The record is from Ensembl.
UGACUCACUCUACAGCAAAAAAUACACAUUCAAGUGGAGACUGAGAGUGAUGAAGAGGCAUCUGACCUCCUGCUGUAGUCAUAUCCCUGCUCAGGAGAGAGCAAGGAAAGGUCACAGGGAGCACAGGGCUGAUAAUGAGUGACUUGAGGAAACUGACCAUACAGCCGAGUCACCUUUUUUUUUCCACAGUUUGCAAUAUUUUGCACUCAGAAUGUCCUUUUCUUCUAGCAUUUAAUAAAAAAAUAAAUUAAAUUGGCUCAGUCAUAUAAAAAAAUCUGGACAUUUAUUGACACCAAGUGAUCUGAAAAACAGAGUUAAUAUUUUUUCCUGUUUUCUUUCAAUGUAUCUGCAGCUUCCGUAGAUCCAGCACAAGACACAGUCACACUGCGAAGAACUGAAUUAUGAUUAAGCUUGUAAGAAUAGCAGAGACAUCUGUCUGUUUUGAGCAAUAGCAAUGAUGAAGAAAGAAUCUGCUGCAGCACAGAGAGCUAGAGAGAGGUGAAAAUGGUGGUGCUUAGUGCCCUGGAUUUUAUGCCCAGAUCUCCCCGACAUCUCACAGAAGAAUAUAUCAGUGGUUCCAGAGCAGUUUUGCUGUCAAAGCAUGAGUGCAGGAAGCAGGUGGGAAAAGCAAACUGAACAGACUGGGAUGUUUCCUUGCAAGACUGCAGAUGGAGGCCAUGUGUGCACGGCACAGGAGCCCAAGCUGACCCAUAAACAAGCUAUUAAGAGGAGGUGUUUUAUACUUAGAGCAGGUUCCUGGUACCUUGAGAGACCUGAGACAUGGACUCGUGAGUUCUUGAUAAUUCAGAAGCAGCUGGAAUUUGCUAAGCAGCGUGGUCUUUUUGAAAGGGGAGAAUACUUCUCUUCCAUUCCUGGAGGGAAUGCAGUCUUGGAUGCUGAGAUCUGCAUGAACUUUUCUGCACACAGCUGAACUUGGCUUGUAUGAAGACAGUACCCAUCUGUUGGGGGAAAGGAAAGGAUCCC